AGCGCCAGGGAAUUACGAGCAACGCUUAAAACCCAAAGGAUUUGACGGUAUCCCAUCCACCUAGAGGAGCCUGUUCUAUAAUCGAUAACCCCCGCUACACCUAACCACUCCUAGCUUAUCAGCCUGUAUACCUCCGUCGGAAGCUUACCAUGUGAACGUUUACAGUAUGCUUAAUGAACACCACCAAAACGUCAGGUCAAGGUGCAGCUUAUGGACUGGGAAGCAAUGGGCUACAGUUUCUAACCUAGAACACACGAAAAACUAUGUGAAAUCAUGGUCACGAAGGCGGAUUUAGCAGUAAAAAGAAAAUAGAGUGUUCUUUUUAACCCGGCCCUGGGAUGUGUACACACCGCCCGUCACCCUCUUCAAUUGUACUUAUUCUGUUUCUUAACUCACCCCUACACCUAUAGAAGAGGCAAGUCGUAACAUGGUAAGUGUACUGGAAAGUGCACUUGGCAAACAA
Molecule: ribosomal RNA, 463 nt
Filed under: Sanguirana sanguinea (Calamianes frog)
Lineage: Eukaryota; Metazoa; Chordata; Amphibia; Anura; Ranidae
Description: partial 12S ribosomal RNA
Rfam family: Bacterial small subunit ribosomal RNA
Source: RNAcentral